CGGAGGGUGCAAGCGUUAUCCGGAUUCACUGGGUUUAAAGGGUGCGUAGGUGGCAGGUAAGUCAGUGGUGAAAUCCCCGAGCUUAACUUGGGAACUGCCGUUGAUACUAUCUGUCUUGAAUAUCGUGGAGGUUAGCGGAAUAUGUCAUGUAGCGGUGAAAUGCUUAGAGAUGACAUAGAACACCAAUUGCGAAGGCAGCUGGCUACACGGUAAUUGACACUGAGGCACGAAAGCGUGGGAGCAAACAGGAUU
RNAcentral lists this ribosomal RNA (252 nucleotides) under uncultured bacterium. RNAcentral's name for it is "partial 16S ribosomal RNA". It matches the Rfam family "Bacterial small subunit ribosomal RNA", at positions 526 to 779 of the family's 1533-position model. The record is from RNAcentral.